This 669-nucleotide long non-coding RNA is filed under the name Ananas comosus (pineapple). RNAcentral describes it as "long non-coding RNA (ACOM_LNC031297)". Lineage: Eukaryota; Viridiplantae; Streptophyta; Magnoliopsida; Poales; Bromeliaceae. The record is from RNAcentral.
AUUUUCAAAAUGGAAGGAUUGUUCGAAAAUCCUUUCCAAAAAGGGCCUCGGGCUAGACACUUUUCUUCCUCUUCCUCUUUCUCUCUUUCCCUUCAACUAGUUUCGAACUCGUAACUAGGGUUUCUCUGUCCUCGUUCAUCUAUGACACAUAUUGCUCCGGAAAAUCAGUAUUAGAUAGAUAAAAGAGAAAAAGAGUGAGAGAAGAGUUAGAGAAAAGAUUGCAAUAACGGUGAAUGUGUUAGUUUUUAUAGAAAAGGAAGGUGACCAUUGGAAAUCUUUUUGGGAGGGGAUUUCUUUACUAUUCUAGCAUAUGGGGCUUUUGGAGGCAUAUAUUUUCUAUGACAAAAUUAACAUUUUACUACUCUUCUGUUAAAAAAUAAAUAAUGAGCUAACGAGAACAAACAAAUGGGCAAAUAUAAAUAUCACUAGAUAUUUGAAGGGAUAAAUCUGAAACUUGAUUUUUUUAUAAAUGUAUUUGCUAUUCGAUAUAUUUACAAGGAGAUGUAUGAAAUUAUCUCAUUUUAUAAUUAUAACGGUUAUUUUGGAUGUAGACUAAUUAUUAGAGGUAUUCGUGAUAUUAGUGAUUAUUUAAGAAAGCAUGUGUAAUAUUAUUAAAUUUAAGAAAAUAUUAAUGAUAUUAUUACAGUACUUAAAGGGGCAAUAAAUAAA